RNAcentral lists this long non-coding RNA (8977 nucleotides) under Sus scrofa (pig). Its description in RNAcentral is "lncRNA (ENSSSCG00035074971.1)". The record is from RNAcentral. Lineage: Eukaryota; Metazoa; Chordata; Mammalia; Artiodactyla; Suidae.
GAUUUCAGCGGCUUCUGAGGAGCGUCUUCAAAAGGCGGCCCCGCGGGGCUGAGGCGCGUUGCUGACGCCAUUGUUGGAAUUCCCGCCCGGAGGCCUCCGCAGGCACCUUGUCCUGUGAGGCAGUCAAGCCAGACAGAGCGCAAAGGAAGAAGGAAAGAAGGACAUACAGAUGGGGAGGAGACAACAGCAAAGCUUCUCAAGGUUAUAUCUCAGCUGCCAAAAAUGAGACAGUGUGAAGAACAGAAACCAAUGCCAUGAGCAGCCCCAGAUGAAUCCUGUGAUGGCUCGUCUGUGAGCAGAAAGAUGAUAGUUACUCUCUUGAGCCAUACAAGUACGAGGCUGGCCCCAAUCCUUCCCGAUAAGCAUCAAAUGGCGACAACUAGCUACAAGAAAUUCCUCCAGCAACAGAAUAAGUAUUGGCACGACAAGAAAUAAUCUACUGAUGGGAAUAGAGGCACUGAAAAUCAUCCCCUGACUAGUCAAUCCCAAAUUCACCUGCAAAUCCUCAUCCUGACACAAUCAGGAAGAUGUCAAAUGCAGGCACAUCAUGGACAGAUCUUGUACAUCUUUUCAGCAAUUCACCUUGGCCCUGAGCUAGAAGGAACUCCUGUUAGAGGAGGAAGAUGUGCCUAAGGUGAACCACCAGAGGACUACCUUAUAGGUGCUCAAGAUGCUCCAAUUGAUGGAAGUAUUCAAAGGUGAAGCCACAGAGCAUGGAAGUAAACACUUCAAAAUGAGAGCAUGAAAAUCUGGACUGACAUGGACGGGGGAUGGGAUUUUGUCUGAGAGGUUCACAUACUAAGAGGAAAAAAUAUGUCCACGGAUUCUUAGGUAAGUUCUAUAAUAUAAUUAUUUCUAAGAAUUACAUGAAGCCAAUUCUUACCUGGAGAAACGGUUGACUGUACCUGCUCCCCAUGAACUUCAACAACAACAACAAAAAUCUGUUAGAAAGAUAAUGAAACAAACUCUACUUUGGGUGAGAAAAAAAAAAAUAGGUAAUCACAUGCGAAGUUGAUUCCUUUCUAAGCCCUUAACACACGUUGGUUUAAUUCUCAGAACAACCUGGUAAGGUAAGUACAAAGUAUCCCAUUUUACAUAGGAGGAACUUAGGCUCAGAGAGUUUCAAUGUGUUUGUAAAGGUCAUUAUCUUAUCUAAAGUUAAGAGUCAGUAAGUGGCAGAGCCCAAAGUAAUACUGAGAUCUAACUAAUUCCUAAAUCUCUCUUACUUCAUGUCGCAUUUCUUUCUUCCAAAGUAAGUGGCUUUGUUCUGACUGCCCAGAGAUAUGCAUAUUCUGUAAUUACGGUCAGAUAUAGAAAAUGUUAACUCAUGUGAAGUUGAAAAGGUUUUUAAGAGGUAAAAUGUAUUUUUACAUGUCCUUUCGUUUGCUUAUGUGAUGUUUCUAAAACUUUCCCUGGGUUUAGAAUGUGUACCUUCCUAAUGUGGUUAAGACACAAUGGAACAUUGGUAAAUAAAGCUUUUAUUAGGCUCCUGUAAAGUGCCCUGGAGGGAAAAAACAUUCUCUGUGACACCAUCACUCUACUCUAUCCUCAGACAUUCUUGUCAUCUUAUUGCGCAGUUUCUGGACAGAUUUUAUAGUAGUCAUUAGUUCAGUUAUUGACACUCAAAGAAAAAAUUGGUAAUCCAAGUAGUUCAGGUAAUAAGUUUUAUAGUAAUUUUAUAAUAAAGUAACUGAUUUUUGUAACGAGUUAUGUAACAAAUUAGCUCUCUGAAGAAGUUAAACUUAAAAUCGAAACAUACAUUUAUUGAAAAAUCAGUAUGUUUAAAUAUGCUAUAAAAACAAAUUUGAUACAAUUAAAUUUGAUACAUUUUAAAAAUAUUUGAAUCUCAGUGAACUCAAAACUUCUGGCAGAUUUUUUCCUGACCCUAAAUUUUAUUAUUUAGAUCAUUGUCUAUAUUUCUACUCUAGGUCUGGUCUUUCAUGUCCUGACUAUGGCAUAAGGUUCAGUAAAUCGUUUGUUUGUUUAUAGUUGAUUUACAAUGUUGUGCCAAUUUCUGUUGUAUAGCAAAAUGACUCACUCAUACAUAUAUAUAUAUACAUACUUUUUAUAUUAUUUUCCACUAUGUUCUGUCUCAGGAGAUUGGAUGUAGUUCUCUAUGAUACACAGUAGGACCUUAUUGUUUAUCCAUUCUAAAUGUAAUAAUUUGCAUCUACCAACUCCAAGUUUCUAGCACUGCCCACUCCCUCCCUUCUGCCCCUGGCAACCACAAGUUUUUCUCUAUGUUUGUGAGUCUGUUUCUGUUUUAUAGAUAGGUUCAUUUGUGCUAUAUUUUAGAUUUUGCAUAUAAAUGAUAUCAUGGUAUUUGUCUUUCUCUUUCUGUCUUACUUUACUUAGUAGGAGAAUCUCUAGUUUUCACCCAUGAUGCUGCAAAUGGCAUCACUUCAUUCUUUUUUUUUGGCUGAGUAGUAUUCCAUUAUGUGUAUGUACCACAUUGUCUUAGUCCACUCAUCUGUCGAGGGGCACUUAAGUUGUUGCCAUGUCUUGGCUAUUGUGAAUAGUGCUACUGUGAACAUAGGGGUACAUGUAUUCUUUUUUUUUUUUGUCUUUUUGUCUUUUUCUACGGCCACACCCAUAGCAUAUGGAGGUUCCCAGGCUAGGGGUCUAAUUGGAGCUGUAGCCACUGGCCUACACCACAGCCACAGCAACGCCAGAUCUGAGCCAUGCCUGCGACCUACACCACAGCUCAUGGCAAUGCUGGAUCCCUAACCCACUGAGCAAGACCAGGGAUCGAACCUGCAACCUCAUGGUUCCUAGUCAGAUACGUUAACCACUGAGCCACAACAGGAACUCCACCUGUAUCUUUUUGAAUUAUAGUUUUGUCUGGAUAUAUACCCAGGGAUGAGAUUGCUGGCUUAUGUGGUAGUUCUAUUUUUAGUUUUCUGAGGAAUCUCCAUGCUGUUUUCUAUAGUAGUUGCACCAACUUACAUUCCCACCAACAUUGUAGGAGGGUUUCCUUUCCUCCAUACCCUCUCCAGCAUUUGUUAUCGGUAGAUGGACAUUCUGACUGGUUUUAGGCGGUACCUCAUUGCAGUUCUGAUUUGCAUUUCUCUAAUAAUUAACUAUGUUGAGCAUCUUUUCAUGUGCCUACAAGGCUCAGUAAAUCUUUAUUGAUAUCUACCUAUUUUAUUUGUCUGAUGGAGAAGCCAUGCUACACUAAAUUACACCAGAACAGGAAAGAGAAGAUCUCUUUGGAACUACUACAAUGAGGAAAUAACAUUGGAAACUAUUAAGCUUUUUUAAUUACUAGUUAAAAUUUAUUAAAGCAAGAACUUUGUCUCAUCCCAUAGGAUCUAAGAUAGUCCGUGGUACAAAGUAAGUCUUAGUGGCUGGUUUGUGUUACACAGUUCUGAAAGGUCUGUAAUUUGUGCAUAAUGGAGAUCUAUGAUUUCAUGGACUAAAAGAUUCUACUGUAUCUAAUCUUGUAGAGGUAAUAUUUUUCUUUGGAACAUUCUCUGGUUGAUGGUCUUCAACAACUUUCUACUCCUAUUCCAAUAAAAAUAAAUCAUAAGUGAAUAACAAUAUUAAAUUAUUCUUUAGUUUCCAUUACCAGGGAGCACUCUAAGCAAUAUAUGGAAACAUAAAAGGAAAAGGCAGUUUCUAAGUUAAUGACAAUUUAAACUAUGUAGCACUUUUAAGACAAAAAUUUUAAAAAUGCAGAUAUACAUUUAUAUAUAUUAAUGUUAUUUAUAUGUGUUUUAAUAUAUACUUUCUAAAGUAUUUGCAUUUUAAUCUGGUUCCUUCCUCUCUUCCUUUUUUAAAAUCUCUCAUUCUCCUCACAUGUGUAAACAGCAGAAAUAGGCAUGUGAGAAGUAUCACAAACCUGUAGACAUUUUCACUCACCUCUGUGAGUGAAUAAAUAGGGAAAGCACUUGUGUUUGCUGUACAUGUAUUACCUAUGAACUUGAACCAUAUAAAAUUGUACUUUUUCUAGAUUAAAAUGGUCAGAUAUUGACUAGUUCAUAGAGUUCAGGUAAUAUAUUACAAAUUUCGUUCCACUGGUGUUCUGUGAUAAUAAAAUAUUUCCUCCUCUUUUUUAUGUUUAAUGAAACUAUACUCAGUGUAUACAGAACUGCUCAUAAUUCUAAAGCUGAUUGGUAUUCUAUUUUCUGGUUUGAUUAACUCAAUCAGUUAAGACACUAUACUACUGAGCCAUUUAAUUUAUCAAUAAAAUAUCUGCAAAUGUGGGUUUUUAAUUACAAAGAAGAGCUAGUAAAGGGGUAUGGAUUUUUCCUUGUCCAUCCAAGGUUUAUUUCUCUUAUAGUAACUUCUUCCUCCAUUAUUUUCCCUAAUAUCCCGAAGUAUAAACUUUCAUCUCUCUCCAUUUAAUGCAAAUUUCAGCCCUCCUACCAACUCUUUACUGCUUAUUAGAGAAGUCAUGGCUCAGGAAAAAAAUUAAUAGUCCAUAGUUUGCACAUUUUUAAGAGUUUUUUUUUUCAAAACUAAAUUUAAAAAUGUGGUUGGAGGUGUUUUCAUAAGGAUAAAUGAAUUUCUUAAGACAUUUUCAUUGUAGCAUUUAUUAUUUUUUAUUUCUCAAAAUAUUUUCUUUAAAUUAUGCAUGAUGAUUAUGUUUAUGCAAAUAUUCCUAAAUAUGAUGCAAGUUAGUCCCCUAUAAUCCAUAUGCAUAAUAUAUCAUAAUUUUCUUUUGCUCCACUUGUCACAUUUAUAAUCAAAUACUUACUUGUAAUAUUAUUUUGAAUUAUAUAUUGAGAGAAAAUAUGUAUUCAUUAAUGAAGAUUUAUUAAUUAUGAAUUAAUUACUGCAGUAAAUACAGAAACUUUUACAGUGCCAGACACAUAAUAGGUGCUUAUACUUUCUGACUAAAUAUCUGGAUGAUUGAAAUAGUAUAGUAUAAAUCAAAAUACAAAGGCACAUAAUUGUGAAAUUGGAUCAUGAAAAUGCUAACUUUCUUGAGCAGGUAAAACUCAAAAAAAAAGGAAACACAAAUGGUUAAUAAUUCUACAAGAAAAGGUUAAACCUAACUAAUGAUUAAAGAAUUAUAAAUUAAAGCAACAAAAUGCCAUUUUUACUUAUCAGAUUGGCAAACUUUAAAAUGGUUGAUAAUAUCUAGUGCUGGUAAGAAUGUGGUGAAAUGUUUAUGCUUGUAUGCCUUUGGAGGCAACAUAAAUUAGUGCGGCUCUUAAGAGAAAUUUGCCUUAUCUUUUAAUAUUUAUAGUUACUGUCUAAUGACUCAGCAAUCAUGCUUAUAGGCAUUUAUCCUAUAAAUCUAUUCAGGCAAGUGAGAGGUGAUACAUGCCCCAGUUUGUAUAUUGUAGUAUUUCAAAAAAUGAAGGGAAAAAGCUAGAAACAGUAAACAUUUUACCAUUUUUUUUGAAUAAAACUCACAACUAUUGAAGCUAAUUUCUUUUAUGCUUAUUGAAGAGAGAGGAUUUGGGAAUGAGAGGAUGAUUUUUCUUCUAAAAUAUCCUUUAUAUACAUAUAUUCUGUCAAAUGGGCUGCAGCCUUUUAUUACUGUAGAUAAUUGUAUUAUUUGUUAUUGAUCUUUCUUCAGAUGACAACAUUUAUUAUUUUUACAGAAAUUGUGUAAAUGAGGAAAACUGUAAAAAGAUUUUUCCUCUCAGUUUAUUUUGCGGCAAGUGUCAGUCUUUACUGUGAAUGUAAAUUUCAGGGUUAAAAUUAAUAAUCCUAGAAGGAGAAGUGCAAAUCAUACAACCUCCUCUCUUACCCAGGUAAAAGUUUAAGGAAAACACAAAUGAAUCACGCAUUUCUGUAUAAUCUGUGCUUUUGUCAAAAGGUUGCCAUGACUCAUUUAUGACUUUCCAUAGUUUUAAAACCAGUGUUUUUAACCAUAGAAAAUCUACUUCAUGGUCCUAUUAUGACAACUGUUGAGUCAAUAAUAGACUCUUUAGUUCAUGCAUGGAUGUUUUUGUAGAAAUAAACCAAGUACAACUGUCCCUUGCUAAUACUCCAUGAAGCGGAAUCCUAAACAAAGAAAGAGAGAGAUUAUAAAACCAAGUUCUCCUACAUGCAUUACUUUGGGUGCUAUAUACUGUGUGGGGUGCCAGAGAUACCACCUCAUUUGAUUGUCAUAGCUCCCUGAAGGAUCAGCUACAGCUCAAGGAUCAAGUAGCUGCUAAGAAUGCAAAGGACUAGAUUUGAACCCAAAUUCAUAUGAUUUCAAAUAUCACUUACAGGUCCAAAUGACCAGGCAGUCCUGACUUAAUUCAGUGCAACAUCUGUUCUUUCUUUUAGCUAGCCCCACAGUGAUCAGGAUCAGAUCUUUGGGACAGUAUUCUGUGAAAUAAAUGCUUUGCUACUCAGUUAUAAGCAGCGUACCCUGGCAUUGAGAUAGAAACAAUAUUUAUGGAUCAUUCUAAUGUAUCGUUUUAACCAGUGGUCUUAUUGUGGUCCUACGUAUGAUUGAAAGAAAAGAGAUAGGAGUUCCUAAUAUGACUUGGCGUAAGAAACCUGACUAGUAUCCAUGAGGAUGCAGGUUUGAUCCCUGGUCUCGCUCAGUGCAUUCAUGAUCUGGCAUUGCAAUAAGCUGUGGUGUAGAUUGCAGACGCAGCCCUAGUCCUGUGUUGCUGUGGCAUACAUAGGCCAGAAGCUGCAGCCCUGAUUUGACCCCUAACCUGGGAACUUCCAUGUGCUACAGGUGUGGCCUUGAGAGCAAUAAAUAAAUAAAUGAAUAAAUAAAAAGUCCUCUGGAUUUCCAACAUUGGUAAUAAUAAACACCCCUUUAAAAAGUGGGCAUUACCUGUGGGUAUUCUUUUGAAGUCAUUCUUCUUUAGAGGGAUUGCAUUAAAUGAAUUGACUUUGACUUGGCCACGAAGAGAGGAAAACUUGCUUCAAUAAUUCAGAAUAUUUCAGGAGCUUAAUUCCUCAAGAAAAUAUUUUAUUUGCCUCAUUUUUCCUUUGAGGUCCCUUUCAAGCUGCAUACUUUAUUUUAGCUCUCAAUUCAUUUCAUUUUGUGUAGAAAGAAUAGUAAUAAUAAAAAAAGGACACUGCAGAAAUUGAGAUAAUACAGCUGUUUCUACUACCAUGUCUUUAUGUCUCUUUAAAAGCAACAAAAGGCUCAUAAACAUUAGAAUUAACUGAGAGUGAAAUCCCAUCUCUUAGCCAUAUAUCACAUUUCUUAUAUCAUAGCACUUACUUAAAAGUCAUGUUACUGUUUUCUUUAACUCAGAAGCUCUGACUCAAGAAUAAUAUGCCCCUAACAUGACUGAUGUGUCUCUUAUAACUACAUAGGGUAAAAGCUUAAACUAUUGUGUGUGCCUGGAGUUGCUGCUCUAUCAUCUUAGUUAAUUUUCUUCAUGUCCCAUGUUUUGUUGUCUCUCAUAAGUGACUGUAUUUAAGAAAAAGAGAAAAUUGGGUGUGGUUAUUUAUGCAGGUCCUAUGGUUAAUACACUCCUAAAGUAGGUACCUGCUAUCUUUAUUACUGCAAACACCAGAUUCUAUGGUUCAUGUUUGGAAAGAAAAGAAUAAACAAUUUUAGCAUACAAAAUUGAGAUGAAUUGCAACUCUAUGGUUUGAGCAAUUUGAAUUCUUAAGAUACAUGUCCUAGUUAUAUAUUGAGAGGUUUAUUAAUUAAACCCAGCUUGAUCUCUGGACCUCAUGUGCUAAGAACUUUAAUUUGAAGGCUUGCCUACUUUGCUUUUGAUGCCACUUAGGGUCCAAAAUUAUUGUACUGAAAUAGUUCUCAAACCCUGAUUCAACUUUAAUGAGGAGAAAUCACAUUAUUAGAUCAUCCAAACACUUCUAUUUACCAGUCACAUCUUGUCACAGCUUUAGUAGCAGCUGUCCACAGAUAUAAGUUUUCACAAAUGAAAAAUCAGGAUAGGAAAGGCAGGUGUCACCUAGAAAAUCUUGAACUCUUUCCAAGAGGCAUUUUGUUGAAUUGCUAAACUGAUAAACUUAGGUUCUCUCACAAGGCUCCAGGGAGGAGCUCAUCAAGCACGUGGUAGCUCCCCGCCCCCAACAGCCAUCAUUAAGUAGAAACCCCUAAGUUUAGAAAAAUAUAAAAUGUUCCUAUCAGUCACGAUUCUUAAGAAAGCCCAUUCGAAUUGUGAUUAAGUUAAAUAGGAAGCCCCUGAAAUUCAAGUCUGCAUAUUUUUUUCUUAGAGCAAAUGUUUUUAAUUUAAUCAAAGAAGAAAAUGAAAAAGACAUGUCUUUCAUAUUUACCAAUGCCUUCAUUUGUUUUCAGAUGCCUCCUCCUCCUACCUCUUAAAUUCAGAUAUUUCUUGAGGAUCCUCAUUGUAGGUGCCUCUUUGAAAGGCUUUCACUUCCUACUCAACUAGCAUCUCUGCAUACAGCACUCCAGGUCAUAAUCUUUGCUCUUUUUGGGAUCCACAUUCUGAAUAUUUAUUGGCUAUGGAUCCAAUUCUGCCACUAAUUUUACUUUUUAAAUUACUCAUGAAGCAGCUCCUGCUAUAAGCACUUUACGUGCAUUUGCUCAUUUAAGUCUUACCACAAAUAGUAAAGAGUACAUUAUGGUUCUUGAUGUACAGAAAGGGAAACAGAAACUUAAAGAAAGGUUAAGAGGAAGCUGCUCCAAACUGACCCAGCUAGUGAGAGACAGAGCUGGGACUUCAGCCUAGGUGGUUCUUCCUCGAAAGCCUGUGAGCUUGACCACUGGGCUGUUGGAAAUCACUUUUCUCACUCUGGUUUGAAACCUGAGGUGAAUCUUUGACAUUUUCUUUUAUUGUUUACUUGCUAGACUACAGGCAAAAUAAAGAUACAAUUUUGGGAGUUCCUGCUGCGGCUCAGCAGAAACAAAUCCCACCAGUAUCCGUGAGGAGGAUGUGGGUUUGAUCCCUGGCCUCACUUGGUGGGUUAAGGAACCAGUAUUGUCGUGAGCUAUGGUGUAGGUUGCAGACAUAGUUUGGAUCUGGCAUUGCUGUGGCUGUGGUGUAGGCCAGCAGCUGCAGUUCCAAUUAAACCCCUAGCCUGUACCUCCAUAUGCCACCGGUGUGGCUCUAAAAAGAAAAAAAAAAAAAAA